UCCCCAGCUUUAGCGGAGUUGGUAGAGCGGAGGACUGUAGAGGAGCAUACGCUGACAUCCUUAGGUCGCUGGUUCAAAUCCGGCUCGAAGGAGGAG
RNAcentral lists this transfer RNA (96 nucleotides) under Pleuronectes platessa (European plaice). RNAcentral describes it as "tRNA-Tyr". The record is from RNAcentral. Lineage: Eukaryota; Metazoa; Chordata; Actinopteri; Pleuronectiformes; Pleuronectidae.